RNA transcript from Vitis vinifera (wine grape), 631 nucleotides. RefSeq lists it as uncharacterized. The record is from RefSeq and is a predicted model, not a curated record. Lineage: Eukaryota; Viridiplantae; Streptophyta; Magnoliopsida; Vitales; Vitaceae. The transcript has 2 exons.
AAUAAAGAUGAAUAAUUAAUAAUUAUUUAUACAGGGAGAGGAAAAUUGUUCUCAUGAUUUAAUCAAAAAUAGAAAAGGCCACCGCUUCUCUCACUCGGCCAUCAAGAAGCCCUUUUGUGAAGUUGCCCUCCAGACGAGAGAAUCCCUAAAAAGGCCCUAUUUUCCUCUGCCACUCUCAAUCCUCCCAGCCAGGGAUGGGUGACAAGAAGAAGAAGGCUGCUUCAAUAUUCAUCAGGCUUGUCUCAUCUGCUGGCACUGGAUUCUUCUAUGUGAAGAAGAAGAAUCCUCGGAAAAUGUUAGAGAAGCUCGAGUUCCGGAAAUAUGACCCUCGGGUAAAUCGUCAUGUUCUGUUCACAGAGGCAAAGAUGAAGUGAAGGAGAAUCCUCUUCGUGGUAUCUCUCUCUGUUCUGAGUCAGAUUCACAGAUCAGUGUACUUAUCACUGAUGUUUUUUGGUUUAGCAUAUAUUUUUUUAUGGGUAUUUUUUUAUUUAGCAUAUUGAUUAUCAACUCUUUCUUUUGUGUGGAUGACUUGAUCUCUUGAUAGCCAUCUUUCAUUAUGGGUUAUGCUGUUUCUAAGACAUGGCUCACAAUUUGAAAUAGUGAGGAUCUUCAUGGGUUAAUUGCAGCUGCA